This 498-nucleotide ribosomal RNA is filed under the name uncultured bacterium. Its description in RNAcentral is "bacterial SSU rRNA". It matches the Rfam family "Bacterial small subunit ribosomal RNA", at positions 899 to 1397 of the family's 1533-position model. The record is from RNAcentral.
ACUCAAAGGAAUUGACGGGGGCCCGCACAAGCGGAGGAGCAUGUGGUUUAAUUCGAUGAUACGCGAGGAACCUUACCUGGGCUUGAAUGUAGGAUGACGUUCCGUGAAAGCGGAAUUUCCUUCGGGACGUCUUACAAGGUGCUGCAUGGUUGUCGUCAGCUCGUGCCGUGAGGUGUCGGGUUAAGUCCCAUAACGAGCGCAACCCCUAUCUUUAGUUGCCAUCAGGUCAUGCUGGGGACUCUAAAGAAACUGCCUACGCAAGUAGUGAGGAAGGCGGGGAUGACGUCAAAUCAGCACGGCCCUUAUGUCCAGGGCUACACACGUGCUACAAUGGCCGGUACAGAGGGUCGCUACCUGGUGACAGGAUGCUAAUCUCGAAAACCGGUCUCAGUUCGGAUCGAAGUCUGCAACCCGACUUCGUGAAGUUGGAUUCGCUAGUAAUCGCGCAUCAGCCAUGGCGCGGUGAAUACGUUCCCGGGCCUUGUACACACCGCCCGU